AAGGGUAUAGCUCAGUGGUAGAGUGCAUGCCUAGCAUGCAUGAGGUCCUGGGUUCAAUCCCCAGUACCUCCA
RNAcentral lists this transfer RNA (72 nucleotides) under Camelus bactrianus (Bactrian camel). It matches the Rfam family "tRNA". From Rfam's summary of the family: Transfer RNA (tRNA) molecules are approximately 80 nucleotides in length. RNAcentral also lists the same sequence under 2 other names. Lineage: Eukaryota; Metazoa; Chordata; Mammalia; Artiodactyla; Camelidae. The record is from Rfam by way of RNAcentral.